This 358-nucleotide ribosomal RNA is filed under the name Bacillus sp. HPC964. Its description in RNAcentral is "partial 16S ribosomal RNA". The record is from RNAcentral. Lineage: Bacteria; Bacillati; Bacillota; Bacilli; Caryophanales; Bacillaceae.
CGCGACGCUGGCGGCGUGCCUAGUACAUGCAUGACGAGCGGAUCGAUGGGAGCUUGCUCCCUGAGAUCAGCGGCGGACGGGUGAGUAACACGUGGGUAGCCUGCCUGUAAGAAUGGUAUAACUCCGGGCAAGCGGAGCUAAUAUUACAAACCAUUCACCCUUCAAUGGGGCAAGUUGCAGCCUACCAUCCGAUCUGACUUCGGGAUGGUCGCGAUGGGCUUAACCUAGUGGGCUUGGAACCGUUUGACCGGCAUUGAUCAGCACCGGCAAGGCGGGUUGACAUCUCCCACACUUCUUCUUGUAUGGCAAGGGGAUUUUAGAGCACAAAAUUGCGGGGAAGGGGGGCCGUGAAUGGUCC